UAGUUGGAUUUGGGUCGACCGGGCCGUCGGGCCGCCGCCUCCGCGCGGCGAGUUCCCGUGCGUCCCCGGGACCGCACGUUCACCCCCGCGGUGCUCUUGACUGAGUGUCCGCGGUAGCGGGUGACCGAACGUUUACCUUGACAAAACCGGAGUGCUCGAGGCGUGGGCGUUCGCCGCCCGUACGUCCUCGCUGGGAAUAAUGGAAGAGGACCGUUGGUCAAAAAAGGUUUUUUGUCAGAGAGGCGGAGAGCAAAAAGGAGGUUGUGUUGGCGGGGGGUUACAAAGGGGGGCGACUCCCUUUCCCCCUCUGGCCUUCCUCUUUCUCCUCCUUGAAACCUUCCCCCCGCGUACCGCACCGGAGAUCGGUUGGCGCUAUUCGGCGGAAAGGGCGGUCUGAGACAGAAGGGUGAAAGCAGGUGGUCGUUUGCCGGAAAGCGAAAGCUGGACGGCCGGUCGUCUGUGGAAACCUGGAAUCUUAUUCCCCCUGACUGUCGUGGUGCUUCCGACUCUUCGGUGUCAGCGGGAGGAGGUCGAAAACCGUAAUAAAAAUAACGUGUCAUGAUUAAGAGGGACGGCCGGGGGCAUUCGUACCGCGGCGCGAGAGGUGAAAUUCUAGGACCGUCGCGAGACGAACGAUAGCGAAAGCAUUUGCCAAGAAUGUUUUCCUUAAUCAAGAACGAAAGUCGGAGGUUCGAAGGCGAUCAGAUACCGCCCUAGUUCCGACCUUAAACCAUGCCGUCCGACCGCCCGCCAGGGUUACUACCGCGACUCGGCGGGCGGUGACUUUCCACCGGGAAACCCUUAAGCUUUCGGGUUCCGGGGGAAGUACGGUCGCAAAGCUGAAACUUAAAGGAAUUGACGGAAGGGCACCACCAGGAGUGGAGCCUGCGGCUUAAUUUGACUCAACACGGGGAACCUCACCCGGCCCGGACACCGCGAGGAUUGACAGAUCGAUAGCUCUUUCUCGAUCCGGUGGGUGGUGGUGCAUGGCCGUUCUUAGUUGGUGGAGCGAUCUGUCUGGWUAAUUCCGAUAACGAACGAGACUCUAGCCGGUUAAGUAGCCCGAGUGGCGUGUUGUUGAUUUAAAAACCGCCCUAGUGGCAUUCGAGGCUUUCCUGGAGGCUGGCUGGCUUUAACGAUGAUGGGUGGGGGUGGGAGGGAGGUGACGGUUCGGGUGGCGUGCGUCGCUGCCUGGAUCUAGCUUUCCAACUACCCUUUACUUCCGUCUCGUUUCGGCCUUUCACUUUUGGGAUCGUCCGUUUGCUUAACUGGGGUAGAUAAAACGCUAACGAGAGUCGGGGGAGUGGGCGUUACUUGUGGAACGGGUGGGCGCGCCUCACGGUGUGUCCCUCUUCCCGGUUUCGUAUUUCUGCUUUCCUCGUCGUCUCGCGCCACCGGCUUUCGAGUGCAAAAGCUUCUUAGAGGGACGAGCGGCGUUCAGCCGCGCGAGAUUGAGCGAUAACAGGUCUGUGAUGCCCUUAGAUGUCCGGGGCCGCACGCGCGCUACACUGAAGGGGUCAACGCGCCGUUGCGUUUCCCGGGCCGAAAGGCUCGGGGAACCGGUGGAACCCCGACGUAG
This 1579-nucleotide ribosomal RNA is filed under the name Peripatus bouvieri. RNAcentral's name for it is "SSU rRNA". The record is from RNAcentral. Lineage: Eukaryota; Metazoa; Onychophora; Udeonychophora; Euonychophora; Peripatidae.